UAGGGAAUCUUCGGCAAUGGGGGGAACCCUGACCGAGCAACGCCGCGUGAGUGAAGAAGGUUUUCGGAUCGUAAAGCUCUGUUGUUAAGGAAGAACGAGUGUGAGAAUGGAAAGUUCAUACUGUGACGGUACUUAACCAGAAAGGGACGGCUAACUACGUGCCAGCAGCCGCGGUAAUACGUAGGUCCCGAGCGUUGUCCGGAGUUAUUGGGCGUAAAGCGAGCGCAGGCGGUUAGAUAAGUCUGAAGUUAAAGGCAGUGGCUCAACCAUUGUAGGCUUUGGAAACUGUUUAACUUGAGUGGAGAAGGGGAGAGUGGAAUUCCAUGUGUAGCGGUGAAAUGCGUAGAUAUAUGGAGGAACACCGGUGGCGAAAGCGGCUCUCUGGUCUGUAACUGACGCUGAGGCUCGAAAGCGUGGGGAGCGAACAGG
Molecule: ribosomal RNA, 429 nt
Filed under: Bacteroidota bacterium
Lineage: Bacteria; Pseudomonadati; Bacteroidota
Description: Bacteroidetes bacterium partial 16S ribosomal RNA
Rfam family: Bacterial small subunit ribosomal RNA
Source: RNAcentral